RNAcentral lists this ribosomal RNA (305 nucleotides) under uncultured bacterium. Its description in RNAcentral is "bacterial SSU rRNA". It matches the Rfam family "Bacterial small subunit ribosomal RNA", at positions 335 to 655 of the family's 1533-position model. The record is from RNAcentral.
AUGCCUACGGGACGCAGCAGUAGGGAAUUUUCGUCAAUGGGCGCAAGCCUGAACGAGCAAUGCCGCGUGAAUGAAGAAGGUCUUCGGAUUGUAAAGUUCUUUAGUCAGGGAAGAAGUCAAUGACGGUACCUGAAGAAUAAGCUCCGGCUAACUACGUGCCAGCAGCCGCGGUAAUACGUAGGUGGCGAGCGUUAUCCGGAAUGAUUGGGCGUAAAGGGUGCGUAGGCGGCCUGCUAAGUCUGGAGUGAAAGGUACCGGCUCAACCGGUACAGGCUCUGGAAACUGGCGGGCUAGAGAGCAGGGGG